GCUGGUGUAGCUCAGUGUUAGAGCGCUUGCCUAGCAUCUGCAAGACCCUGGGUUCCAUCCCCAGCAUCAUAA
RNAcentral lists this transfer RNA (72 nucleotides) under Marmota monax (woodchuck). RNAcentral's name for it is "tRNA.Ala". It matches the Rfam family "tRNA". From Rfam's summary of the family: Transfer RNA (tRNA) molecules are approximately 80 nucleotides in length. Their secondary structure includes four short double-helical elements and three loops (D, anti-codon, and T loops). Lineage: Eukaryota; Metazoa; Chordata; Mammalia; Rodentia; Sciuridae. The record is from RNAcentral.